GUGACCUCGAAUCAGUAGA
RNAcentral lists this ribosomal RNA (19 nucleotides) under Fusarium sp. r323. RNAcentral's name for it is "partial 28S ribosomal RNA". The record is from RNAcentral. Lineage: Eukaryota; Fungi; Ascomycota; Sordariomycetes; Hypocreales; Nectriaceae.